UAACCUGCUAACUAGUUACGCAAACUUUCGAGUUUGUGGAUAACUUCUUAGAGGGACUAUCUGUGUCUAGCAGAUGGAAGUUUGAGGCAAUAACAGGUCUGUGAUGCCCUUAGAUGUUCUGGGCCGCACGCGCGCUACACUGACAAAAUCAACGAGCAUCAUCCUUGGCCGGAAGGUCUGGGUAAUCUUUUGAAACUUUGUCGUGCUGGGGAUAGACCCUUGCAAUUAUUGGUCUUCAACGAGGAAYUCCUAGUAAGCGCGAGUCAUCAGCUCGCGUUGAUUACGUCCCUGCCCUUUGUACACACCGCCCGUCGCU
Molecule: ribosomal RNA, 316 nt
Filed under: uncultured eukaryote
Lineage: Eukaryota
Description: SSU rRNA
Rfam family: Eukaryotic small subunit ribosomal RNA
Source: RNAcentral